UGGUCAUUUUAGAGGAAGUAAAAGUCGUAACAAGGUUUCCGUAGGUGAACCUGCGGAAGGAUCAUUAACGAAUUGUAAUGGAGGUUGAUGCUGGCGGCUUUCAUUGGCUGCAUGUGCUCGCUUCCAACAAUCUUAUCCAAACACCUGUGCACUCACUGGGUUUUCCGAGCAAGAUUCUCGGAUUUCCCUUCUUUUACAUACACUACUCGUAAUGUUGAACGUGCUUAUGCCGUCAUGGCUAUAACAUAAUACAACUUUUGACAACGGAUCUCUUGGCUCUCGCAUCGAUGAAGAACGCAGCGAAAUGCGAUAAGUAAUGUGAAUUGCAGAAUUCAGUGAAUCAUCGAAUCUUUGAACGCACCUUGCGCUCCCUGGUAUUCCGGGGAGCACGCCUGUUCGAGUGUCGUGAAAUUAUCAAGCUAGGAUGAUUUUGCUAUCUUCCUAGCCUUGGUCAUUGGGCUCUGCCGUGCCUAUUCAUUGGGAACGGCUGGCCUUAAAAAUAUUAGCUGACUCUUAUGGUUGUUGGUUAUACUUGGCGUGAUAAUGUCUAUGACCGCUGAGGAACGUCCUUUGGGAUGGCCAAUUCUUAUCAGAGUCGCUUCUAAUCUUGCAUUAUGGGUUCUCUGAAUCUGUUCUGCUUUCAAUUUUGGCCUCGAAUCAGGUGGGACUACCCGCUGAACUUAAGCAUAUCAAUAAG
This 697-nucleotide ribosomal RNA is filed under the name uncultured Clavulinaceae. RNAcentral describes it as "eukaryotic LSU rRNA". The stretch from base 253 to 406 matches the Rfam family "5.8S ribosomal RNA". Lineage: Eukaryota; Fungi; Basidiomycota; Agaricomycetes; Cantharellales; Hydnaceae. The record is from RNAcentral.